UCUUAAUUGCCCACCAGGUGGGUGGCAAAUGAACUCAAUAGAGAAAGGAUCAGAGAGCAAGACUGAGUAGUUUCCUCAGAGCAUUUUGACACAUUAUCUCUUCUUGAUAGAUUCUCUGGAACAUCUCUGAUCUUCUCUUAUCAAUUAAUUAAUUGGUUAUCAUCCACACUUCAUAUUUGACAGAAGAAGACCUAAGUAAGUAGGAAACAGGAUCUGGAAAACAAGAGAAGUCAUACAGAGUUGGUGUGCCAUUGUUUAAGAGCAUAGCACUAUUAACUUCUGACAGUACAGAAAUCACAAAGGAUUUAAGCCAAAACAUGACCAACCAAAUGCCCUGAACUAAGGACAACUUUUACUGACAAGAGUAGUGGAUAAUCAAUUGAGAGUCAUCAGCAAGAGAAUACUGCUAUACUGAAGCUGACAUUUCUAGGGGAGAUUCAUCUGUUUUUCUCUUAGAUUUUGUAUCCUGAUAUCUGCACUGUGAGUGUGACCUAUUGUUUACAUUAAACUUGUUUACAUGUUGCUUACUUAGGUUCCAGAACAAAUGUGGUCAUUGUAAGUGGUUGCAUCAGCCUUUUGCUGAUACUUCAGUACCAGCUCUGCAUAAGGAGCAAAGUUCCAUGACAAAAAUAAACUAUAUGAAGAAGGCUUAAAUGCAGGGGAAAAAAACAAAACAGGAUUCUUCAGUGUAAGGAUCUUGUUUAUCCCCAGAAAACAAUGUUUGGCUGAGCACAAUAACAUCUGGCCAGACCUGAGGGGGAUUUUUAUGAGUUCCAUGUGGGAUACUGAAGUCUUGGCCUAACUGGCCUCAAAUACCCCAGAAAGAUGCACUUUCUAUGUACAUAUCUACUCAACCCGCUCUAUUUUUCGACCCUGUUGCUGUAAGUAUUGAUUUUUCUUGUUUCAGUAUGGUCUAAUGCUAGUGUAAAUCAAGUCAGAUUGUAGCUCACUUGCUACAGUUUGGGGUGUAUCAGGAAAGCAAAAUUCACAUCCUCCCUUGCCUUUUUUUUUUCCAGUGAAGUUUUAUUUUUGUAACUUAGCAUAGAAAUCUGCACCCUACCCAAUGCAAUUUCAUCCCCCAUAAAAUCCUCUUGUCUGUGAAACUUAAUGAAAUGGCUUUUUAUAACCUUGGUAUCAUGCAAAUCCUGGUUAGUCAUCCCUUUCCAAAU
RNAcentral lists this long non-coding RNA (1169 nucleotides) under Numida meleagris (helmeted guineafowl). Its description in RNAcentral is "lncRNA (ENSNMEG00000016560.1)". The record is from RNAcentral. Lineage: Eukaryota; Metazoa; Chordata; Aves; Galliformes; Numididae.